RNAcentral lists this long non-coding RNA (2101 nucleotides) under Homo sapiens (human). RNAcentral describes it as "HSALNT0303514". The record is from RNAcentral. Lineage: Eukaryota; Metazoa; Chordata; Mammalia; Primates; Hominidae.
GCCACUACCGAUCUCUGCCCUCUUGGUGGUAGUGGUCCCCCGGGCCCAGCUGUCUUUUCUUUUAUCUCUUUGUCUUGUGUCUUUAUUUCUACAAUCUCUCAUCUCCGCACACGGGGAGAAAAACCCACCCACCCUGUGGGGCUGGUCCCUACAAGUUGCUACAGCAGCAAAAUGGGGAUAAUAGCACCUACUUUACAAGGAAUGAAGGAAUGCAAACAAUGAGAACAGUGCUAGCAGAGAAGCACUACCUGUGAAUCUGCUAUUACUCAAAGAAGAACUAUUCAAACCAUUGCUAGCAUCAGAUAUUAGGAUUUUAAGUAAAUGUUCACUAAUUUGGUAGUGGAAAUGAUGUUCUAAUGUGGCUCUUUGAUUACCAACAAGGGUUAAACAUUUAAUUAUCAGUGGUUUUGUCUUCUAGGAAUUCUUUUACUCACAUGGUUCUUUGAGGGCCUUAAUGUGUUUCUUACUGAUCUGUAAAACUUAUUAGCAUAGUGACCCUUUAUGUAUGUUAUAUUUGUUGUCAAUAUUUUCCUCAGUUUGCCUUUUGACUUUUUAGAAUAUAGAGUAGCUAAGCAAUAACUGUUGCUUGAAUCAGUGUUGUCUUACUGAGCCAUCCACAUUCUCAUCCCUUCUCAACAGGAAUGACCCCAAGUUUAUCAGAAGGCUCCUGUGGCUCCAGGGUCAACUCUGGGCAUAUCUGACUACAUCACUCCACCCCUACCAUGGUCUCUCCUCUGUACCCCAGCGUUCCAGGGUACUGUCUUCUGAGAGCGCACUUGUCUGCCAACCCCAGUAGCCAGGACUCAGCAUACCUGGCAAACACCUUCAAAACUAGCAAAUCAUGCUGGCUAUCUGCCCCAGGACAUCAUCAAGAAAGUGAACAGACAACACACACACAGAAUGAGAGAAAAUAUUUGCAAAUCAUUGGUAAAGGACUGGAAUUGGUAUGUCAAAUAUGUGAACAAGUCUUACAACUCAAUAAUAGAAUGACAACCCAACUUUAAAAUGGGCAAAGGAUGUGAAUAGAUAUUUCUCCAAAGAAGAUAUACAAAUGAUCAAUAAACAUGGGAAAAGACAGCCAACAUCAUUCAUUGUUAGGAAAAUGAAAAUCAAAACCACAAUGAGAUACCACUUUGUACCCACUAAUAUGGCUAUAAUAAAAAGGACAGAUAAUAAGCGUUGCUGAGGAUGUGGAGAAAUUGGAAACCUCAUCCACUGCUUGGGGAAAUGGAAAAUGGUGCACCCACUUUGGAAAGCAGCUGGCUGUUCUUCAAAACAUUAAACUGAGUUACCAUCCAACCCAGCAAUUCCACUGCUAGUUAUCUACCUGAGAGAAAUGAAAACAUGUCCUCAUAACAACUUUCACAGGAAUGUUCAUAGUAGCAUUAUGCAUAAUAGCAAAGAAGUGGAAACAACUCAUAUGUCCAUAAACUGCUGGAUAAACAAAAGGUGGUAUAUCCAUUCUGUGAAAUAUUAUUUGGUAAUAAAAAGAAAUGAAGUACUGAUGCAUGCAUGGAUGAACCUUGAAAAUAUUUUGCUAAGAAGCCAGUCACAAAAGACCACAUAUUGUAUGUUUCCAUUUAUAUGAAAUAAAACAGACACAUCCAUGGACAGAAAGUAGGUUAGUAGUUGCCUAGGGCUGAGGAGUGAAUGGAUUGUGGGGAGGUGUUGAGAGGUGAAAGCUAAGGGUGUAGGGUUUCUUUUCGUGGUAAUGACAGUGUUCUAAAAUUGAUUGUGGCCAUGGAUGCACAACUCUGUGACUAUACCAAAAACUUAACUCUUACAAUUAUAAAUAAAUUGUAUGGUAUGGGAAUUAUAUUUCAAUGAAAUUGUUAUUAAAAACAACUCUUUGCCCAGCGGACACCCAAACCUUUCCCCAGCGGACACCCAAACCUUUCCCCAAGAUGGCUGUAAAUUAUCUUGGGGUGGGAAUGGGGAGGUCCUCCUUUGGUCCUAGCUCUUGAUCCAAUAAUUCUGACGUCAUCUACAACACGUUUACCUAGAAAUGAAACUCAGCUCUUUGCUGAAGUUCUAUCCUCCCAAACCACCCUUCUUUCCCUUCCUAGGAAGCAUUCAUGAUUUCACUGUAGAUGGGGCAGGG